Molecule: long non-coding RNA, 1321 nt
Organism: Cucurbita moschata (crookneck pumpkin)
Lineage: Eukaryota; Viridiplantae; Streptophyta; Magnoliopsida; Cucurbitales; Cucurbitaceae
Exons: 2
Source: RefSeq, a predicted model, not a curated record
UAGACAUUGUUAUUUUCACGUGAUUUUGCUCGUGUUUCAGUUUUUUAAGUCUGGAUUUUUUUUAAACUUAAAUGUGCUUGAAAUCUGAUUAUUUGAUAAUAAAGUAGGUGAAGUUUAUGUGCAGUGAUGAUAUCUGUGUAUCCCAGCUCAUUAUGAGACCUUUCGUAGGUCCGGGAAUGAACCAGUUUCCACAUUUAUCUGAGCCUAGGCUCAGAGUUUUUAAACUUUCUGAUUCAAUUUGAACAACGAAGCAGAAUAAUUGGCCACUAAUAAACCUGGAUUUCGAAUUUUUAGAUACGAAAUAUUAUAUCUUCAUCGAUUGGCCUAUAUUUUUAACUUUCUUAAAACUAUAUUUUGAUUGAAAUGCUGAUUGUAUUAUCAGCCGCAAUGAUGCAAUGUGAUAAUCCCAGCUCUAUGAGACUUUCUAAAGGUCAAGGACUAGACAAGAUCCACAUAUUUACCUGAGCUCAAAAUAUUAUUUUUAAAUCUAUGGGCCAAUAUUUUUAACUUUUCUUUAAUUAUAUUUUGAUUGAAAAUGCUUAUUGUAUUAUCAACCGCAAUGAUGCAAUGUGAUAAUCCCAGCUCUAUGAGACUUUCUAAAGGUCAAGGACUAGACAAGAUCCACAUAUACACCUGAGCUCAAAAUAUAAUUUUUAAAUCGAUGGGCUAAUAUUUUUAACUUUUCUUUUAUUUUAUUUUUAUUGAAAUGCUGAUUUUAUUAUCAGCCGCAAUGAUGCAAUAUGAUAAUCCCAGCUCUAUGAGACUUUCUACAGGUCAAGGACUAGACAAGAUCCACAUAUUUACCUGAGCUCAAAAUAUUACUUUUAAAUCGAUGGCCCAAUAUUUUUAACUUUUCUUUAAUUAUAUUUUGAUUGAAAUGUUUACUGUGUGUUAUCAGCCGCAAUGAUGCAAUGUGUUAAUCCCAGCUCUAUGAGACUUUCUAAAGGUCAAGGACUAGACAAGAUCCACAUAUUUACCUGAGCUCAAAAUAUUUUACUCUUUCAGUUUUUUCAUUUCGCAUCAAACUCAGCAGUAAAAUUAAGAUGACAAUUAUGAGCUACCUUCAUCAUGUAUUGAUAACGAAGCCCGUUCGCAUAUCCUUCUGCCAUUUCAGUCACUGUCUUCCUUGUCGAAGGAUUGAGAGAUAGGUUGUUCCCUAUGAUGUUUUACUUUUUAAACCAUGCUAAUACUGAUCACAUGAUGAUUGAUCUUCAACUCUUGUCUCUGAGGGAACUAGCCUACACUCUUGAAUUAAUUUUUUCUGAAGGACCUUUAUUUGUUUGAAUAUCUAAUAUUGUAUCCAUAUGAAUUUAUAAUCUUA